UUCCGGCCGCGCCGUGCCCGCGGAGCGGGGUGCUCGAGGCGGUUUCCGGGGACUGGGCGUCCUGGAUCCCUCUGGGACCGAAGGUCUUAAAGACUGACAGUUUCCAGAGAAAGGCGGCUCUUAGUCGCAGGCUCCCGUCGCGAAAGUAAAGGGAUCCAUGCAAACCGAGGCCCGGAAGAGACAGCCUGGCGGCUACGGGCUGCCGCGAGGUCCAAGCCCCGUGGUUAGGCGUUCCUGCUCGGGGCGGAAUUCUCGCCCGGCGGUCCGGAGCCCGCGGCGGCGUCCCUGAGCCAGCUUUCGGUGUGGCCUGUGCGGUGUGCGGGGAUGAGAGCUCGGAACGGGGGUUGAUGGAGGAGCGGGAGUGGCAGUGAAACGACCGAGCCAGAAAGCACGUGGGGAGAGGGGACAGCGCCAUUGGAGGCCUGAUUUCUGAUCCGCUGAACCGGUGGUUUCUCCCUGAGGGACCUGGAAACCAGCAUCCCAGCGACGCCUUGCAGAUGCUGAGUCCUAAGGUUUUCGAAGCCUCCUCCUGAAACUUAGAUAAGAGUCAUGGCUUCCCAUUCACGGGAGGGGCAGGGAUAUGAUUCUGGGGCAACCGCCUUGGGAACAGAAUCACUUGCAUUGCUAUCAAUUCUCCAAAAGCUACAAUAUAAAGAGGUUGAAGCAAAGAAAAAAAAAAAAUCCGGAGAACCGGAUAACCCAAGGGCGUGCAAGACAACGCCUCUUUCUGCAUUGAGGACACCCAAUAAUCUUAACUCAUUUCAAAGUAUUUCACACGAAAAUGAAGAGUAGAGGUGCUGCUGACCCAACAAAGCAAAACCAAAGUCCCCGCCUGUCAGGGAGCGCAGAGACUCAUCAAACAGGUAAAUAAGAAUACAGUCAACUUACAAGGACGACUGCUGUGCUCCCGUCGAGGAAAAGACGUAAACAGGGAGCCAGGGCACCUGGGCAUCGACCUGGCCUGGGGUCGCAGGGGAGGGCUUCCUCUACGACGUGAUUUUGGGAAGGACACGUGGGUAUUUGAUGAGGAAAGGAAAGGCGGGCGGGAGUGGAGAAAGAGCUCGAAGCAGAGCUAGGUGUGGAGGCGCUGGCUGGAGAGCAGCAGGGACUGGUGGAGUUUCUGCGAGGAGCCCUGUGCAGAGAGCACGGCAUGGGGAUGCGGCUUGGGACCUGGCUGCGGAGCUCGGGAGGGGCCGGUUCUUAACAACCAAGGAGGGAUUCUGGCCAAAUCUGAGGGCCGUAGCGGCCACUGGAGGGUUUGAUCACAUUUGUGGUUUGUAAAGGUCACUCCGGCUGCUCAUUGGCAAAGAGACCGGCAAAAGGCAAGGACAAAUGCAGGGAAAUGUCCACUAAUGAAUGCUGAUGGAAGAAUCACAUGGCAGCAGUCGACAUUCUGCAACCACCAGGGCAUCGCCCUUGAUGGAUGGUGAGCCACUGGGGGAAAGUUCACGGGAAAAUAGAAGUAGUACAUUUAGAUAUCUAAGUAGUCUCGAAGCUUCUUCCCCACAGAUUGCUAAUUCCUCACAAAGGGAGAAUAAAAUAUAUUUAGGACGUUCUCUUGUCCCGCAGCUAGUUACGGAUCCAGUGUUGUCGCUGCAGCAGCUUGAGUCGCUGCUGUGGCUCAGGUUUGAUCCCUGGCCCAGGAACUUCAGCAUGCUGCGGAUAAGGCCAAAAAAACAACAGGAGUCCCCAGUCGUGGCUCCGUGGUAACGAACCUGACUAGCAUCCAUGAGGAUGUGGGUUCGAUCCCUGGCCUUGCUCACUGGGUUAAGGAUCAGGCAUUCCUGUGAGCUGCGGUGUAGGUCGCAGACUUGGCUCGGAUUCCGUGUUGCUGUAGCUGUGGUGUAGGUCGGCAGCUGCAACUGUGAUUCAACCCCUAACCUGGGAACCUUAUGCCACGGCCCUGGGGGAAAAACAAAACAAAACAAAACAAAAAAAAUACCAACAAAAGCCUUUCCGAUGGAGAAAUCUAUUACCAUUUCAAUCUUGGGUCAAACACCAAAUAUCAGCAAUAAUGAGACAAACUGAUGUUUGUGCAUCCUGGUAGGAUGCCCUGAGGACACACAUCAUUUAUGCAGCACUGCUGCCAAAAAUGUGUUCCCUGACUCCGUGUAGGGGCAGUCAGAACAAUGUACCCUGAGAGGCGUUCACACAGCGCGCAGCCUCUACUCUCAAUGCCAGAGUCCCGGAGGACAAAGGAAAGCUGAGAACCCUUCCAGAUUCAAGGCAUUUAAUGGAAUCCUUUAACGGACUCUGCCUCGAAAAUGGAAGGAGGGGCCCCAAGCCGAAGAAGGCAGGCAGCCUCCAGAAGCUGGAAAAGGCCAGGAAAUCUUCCAGAGGCUCCGGGAGGAACCAGCCCUGCUGACAGCUCAGUUUUAGGAACUGGCCUCCUGAACUGUAAGGCAAUAAACUUGUAUUGUUUGAAGCUACUGCGUCUGCAGUAAUAUGUUACAAAGGGGCCAGGGAAAAGGGACGUGGUGGACAACCAGAAACAGACCCGACGCCGAGCCCCGCCACCUGCUUUAUCUCAUAUAAUAGUUUUUUUUUUUAUUGAUCUUCUAAUCAAAGUAUUUUGCAUAUUGAUUCAGCCAUCAAAUAAAUAUAGUACUUCUCCC
This 2615-nucleotide long non-coding RNA is filed under the name Sus scrofa (pig). RNAcentral describes it as "lncRNA (ENSSSCG00015007024.1)". Lineage: Eukaryota; Metazoa; Chordata; Mammalia; Artiodactyla; Suidae. The record is from RNAcentral.